Non-coding RNA from Pelobates cultripes (western spadefoot toad), 297 nucleotides. The record is from the annotation of a GenBank genome assembly. NCBI's taxonomy places the organism in Eukaryota, Metazoa, Chordata, Amphibia, Anura, Pelobatidae.
CAUGACGUUUGCACCCUUUAGUUAUGGCCUUGUAUGUUUGCCAAAUUAAGGGAGGUCCUAAAUUGAAUAAAGUAAAAGAAGUGUUACUUUUUCAUAUUUGAACUACAGUAACCUAAAAUGGAGACACCUAAGGUAUAAAUAGGUGUACUUUUAAAUGUUAAGACACAGAGGAGAGACUUGGAGACAGACGCUGCUCCAUCUUAAAAUGACAGAGAGGCUGACAUGAUGACAUGUUCAGAAGGGUAUGUUAACCUAUUAAUGAUAUUUGCAAGCAUUUAAUUUAAUCUUUUAAACUCU